This 84-nucleotide ribosomal RNA is filed under the name Brassica rapa (field mustard). RNAcentral's name for it is "partial 5.8S ribosomal RNA". It matches the Rfam family "5.8S ribosomal RNA", at positions 73 to 154 of the family's 154-position model. From Rfam's summary of the family: 5.8S ribosomal RNA (5.8S rRNA) is a component of the large subunit of the eukaryotic ribosome. It is transcribed by RNA polymerase I as part of the 45S precursor that also contains 18S and 28S rRNA. Lineage: Eukaryota; Viridiplantae; Streptophyta; Magnoliopsida; Brassicales; Brassicaceae. RNAcentral also lists the same sequence under 2 other names. The record is from RNAcentral.
UGCAGAAUCCCGUGAACCAUCGAGUCUUUGAACGCAAGUUGCGCCCCAAGCCUUCUGGCCGAGGGCACGUCUGCCUGGGUGUCA